This 181-nucleotide ribosomal RNA is filed under the name uncultured Glomus. RNAcentral describes it as "partial 18S ribosomal RNA". It matches the Rfam family "Eukaryotic small subunit ribosomal RNA", at positions 569 to 752 of the family's 1831-position model. Lineage: Eukaryota; Fungi; Glomeromycota; Glomeromycetes; Glomerales; Glomeraceae. The record is from RNAcentral.
AGCAGCCGCGGUAAUUCCAGCUCCAAUGGCGUAUAUUAAAGUUGUUGCAGUUAAAAAGCUCGUAGUUGAAUUUCGGGAUCAAUACGUCGGUCGUGCUUCGGUACGCACUGGCGUCAUUGAUUUCUCCCUUCUGACGAACCAUGAUGUCAUUAACUUGGUGUCAUGGGAAAUCAGGACUGUU